Molecule: long non-coding RNA, 4364 nt
Organism: Dama dama (fallow deer)
Lineage: Eukaryota; Metazoa; Chordata; Mammalia; Artiodactyla; Cervidae
Exons: 3
Source: RefSeq, a predicted model, not a curated record
CGGGGGCGGGGGCGGGGCUUCUGCGAUUCUGGAACCGCGGGUCCUAAAAACUGGAUGUUCGCAGGGAAAGAUGGCCCUCCAUAGUCUCAAGGUCCGCUUUCUAAAAUAAAGCGAUCCGUGCAAGCUGACGUCUGGGGAAGAGAAAGGAUGGGGGCUACGGGCUGCCGCAGGCUUUCGGACCCGCGUGUCCAGGGGCCCGCGGCGGCGCGGGAGAAGAGCGCGAGAGGUGCGAGCUGUGCGUCCGGCGCGCGGGGAUGAGAAACCCGAUCACGGGCAGAUUCUUUACCGAUGAGCCAUCAGGGAAGCCCUCCUAUCUCCUGGCAUAUUUAUUUCCACAAGGAAGAAAAGAGAGGCCCAUGGAACCAAACACCUACCAUUGGACGUCCUCACAGGAAUGAGGACAUCUCAGCUCCAGGAUCAGUUCUGUGUAUCCAUCAGGAGCUAGUGUGCAGCUAACCACUCAUCCCACGAGAUAGUUCUUUUAAAGUGGAGCCUCUGUUCAACCACAUGAAAAGAUGUUCAGCCUCAUUCAAAGUAAAAGGAAUGAAUGCAGAUUUAAGAGUAUCAGGAGAUCCCAUUUUUCACCUAGUCAGUUGAUGAACAUUAAAGUUUGGCGAUUCUGUGUGUUGGCCAGGAAGACCAAAUUGGUGCAAUUGUCACUUUACUCAGCUCUUUGCAGAGCAAGACAGAAGUAUGAAUCACAAAAAUUUAAUUGUAUUUACCCUUUGACCCAACAAUCCCACUCAGCAAUUUAUCCUCCAGAUAGAGUCCCUCAUGCACACAAAGAUGUUUGCACUUCAGUAUUUACAGUAGAAUGUUUGUAGAAGCAAAAAACUGCAUCGCCCUAUAUGCUGUCAGUAUAUUAAGUAGAGUAUGUUAUACAUAGGAAUGGAAUACUGUGCAGUGAUCUUUGAGGUAUAUUAACUCUAUCAUGUCAGUUCAGUUCAAUUGCUCAGUCGUGUCUGACUCUGCGACCCCAUGGACUGCAGUACGCCAGGCUUCCCUGUCCAUCACCAACUAACUAUGGUGUAAAACUGUGUAUUUGAAAAAGAAGAUCUGGGGAAUAUAUAUGUUUAUAUAUACAAUCCCUGGGAAAAUGUACAAGGAAUAGGUUUGUAACUUGUUAAGUUUGUAAACCAUGUAUCCAUUUUUAAAUAUAUAAAAAUUUAAAAUAAAUGAGACAACCCUAUAGAACAAUUGGCAAAACACUUGAACAGGUACUUCACAGAAGAAAAUCCAAACGUGAAAAAAUGCUAAUUUUCAUUAGUCAUCAGGGAAAUGCAAACUUCAACCACAAUGAAAUACUAUUUACAUACCCACUAGAAUGACUAAGAUGGAAAAACACCAAGUGCUGGUGAGCGUGCAGAGAAACUGGGACUUCCAUCCACUUCACUGCUGGGGGCAGGAAUGUGAUUGUUAAACCACCCCACAGGGGUAUCUACUGAAGACAGAUGGAAAGACGUGUGAUAGAAUGUUCCCGCAAUACACAGCACAGCAUUGUUUAUGGAUAUUCAGGUGGUUUGCAGUUUGGGGCUAGAAUGAACAAAUAGUAGUAUACCUAUACAGUGAAAUAUAAUACUAGACAGAAUGAAAGUGUCCACUACACACAAGUAAAUCUCACAAACAGGAUGUUGAAUAAAAGUUCAAAAUUGGGCAAAACUGACCUUUGGUAUAGGAAGACAGGGCAGGGCUGUGACUACCACUGUAGUGGGGAUGCUAGGGGGCUAGUGAUCUUCUCUUUCUUGAGCUGGGUGCUAGUUGUAUGAGUGUUCACUUGGUAAAAAUUCAGCCUUGUACAUUUAUGAUUUGUAUGCUGGUACUUCAACAGUGGGAGGGAAAGAGACUUCCAAGGGCUGUAUAGUGGAAAAAUCAGAAAUUUAUUCAGAAGGGAGUUUCUUAUUUUUUCCACUGAGAUUGUGAUGUGGAAUGCAUCAGCCAGAUCAGGGAAGCCAGAAGGCUGAAGCUCCCCAACCCAAGGUGUUGAACAAGGCCCAGGAAGUCUAAACAACCCAAAGUGGAGUGACACGUUCCUGAAUUCCUUUUCACUGGGUCACCUCACCUCCGGCUGCAGGUAGAGCCCUUGGGGGCGGCAGGGCUGUGCCUCGGGCUGUGCGUUCUCUGGAAUCCCAAGCUGGCUCUCUCCUGCCCUUCAGCGUGUCUUCCUCCCUGGCACAUUAUAAAAAAUUCCUCCUUCUCUCCCAUUCCUGCGACAGUGCAAUACGCAGUAAAUGAAUGAAUGAACAUGCAUUGGCUGGCCCCUUGUUCAGAUGAAGAAACAGGCCCAUGGAGUUUAAGGCGUGUGCUGAAGGUCAUACAACUGGGAGAGGAACUCAUAGCCUCCUGCUCCUGAAACGCCCUCUACAGGAAGAAACGCGUAUACACAUGGCUGAUUCAUUUUGUUGUGCAGCAGAAGCUAACACAGCAUUGUAAAGCAAUGAUACUCAAAAAAAAAAAAAAAAAGAUACUAAGGAGAAAAAAAAAUCCUGAAGAAAAAAUCUGAUCUGAGAAUGAAGCCCACCUCAAAGGGAAGCAGUCAAGAAGGUGAGAGAGAUGAGACCCAAGUUCUGAUGAUGUCACUUGGCCCCUGGAUCCAAGUUGGCCCCUGGGGUUGGCUGGGCCAACCCCAGAACUUUUCAGUCAUGUAAGCCACUGUAUUCCUACUAUUACCACUUUACCAUUUUUUUUUUUUGGGGGGGGGGUUGUGUCUUGAGGCAUGCAGGACCCCAGUUCCCCCACCUGAGUCAAACCUGCACCGCCUGCAGUGGAAGCUCAGUCUUAACCACUGGACCACCAGGGAAGUCCCUAUAUUCCCUCUUUUUGAAAAACCAGUUUGCCUGGACUUUUGUCACUUACACAUUUACAUUCUGGUAAAUAUACCUCCUAGGUCCAAACACACUAGUUCUAUAUUUCCUCGAAUUACCAGUAUAGAUUUCGUAUCUUGAAAUCUCAUGGUUAACCCAGCAUGACUUGAUCUUUGCCACUGGUGCUUCCUCUUCUGAGGGGUCACAGAUGUUUUUCAUGAGUCAUCUGUCCUGAAUGUUUCCCAGGCCCAAUGUCUAGGUCACUGAUCUGUGGUUUGCAGAAUUUACUUUCUUCCCCUUUUUAAGUAAAAUGGCCGUGUCAUGUGCUUCUCUCCAACCUUCUGGCAAGUUCAGAAGAUCUUUUCUGAGGUUUGGAGAGACAGAUGAAUCUCUUGAGGACAAAUGAUAUUUCCCCCAAAUGGAGUCUGACCCGGAAUGAACCCUCAUUUUCCAAUUUUCCUGAAUAGUUGGUAUCACCAGAGUGAGAACAAGGCUGCAAGAGUCCACUUCUGGUGCUGGGUUCACUCACUGAACCAAGGUAGGACUUCCUCCAGUCACAGGUACGAUCCUCCUCCAUUCCAUACAGUCUUCAUGAUGGUCUUGUAGCCUGCGGGAUGCCCCCAUCUGUAGUGCCCACAUAAGGGAAUGAAGACCGUCUUACACUUCUCUGAAUUCACACGAAGCUUAAAAAAGAGAUCUGUUUCUCACAAAUGAUGACUACACGGAGCUGGUCAUGCAAAUUAGAAAUGGACCAGAAGCAGCUGAGGUGCUGAAGGCCCCAUGUCUCUUAUAGAACCACAGCUCCCAGAUCUUUCCUUCCCGUUGGUCCCUUAAACCUUCCCAAGCAAGUCUUAACAGGCCACCUUCCCAGGGACCAGCAGCUCCAUGUGUGGGGCACAAGAAAAGACACUUGAUCGUCAAUCCACAGGUCGUCUUUUCGUCUAAGUGGCAGAACUCCAGUUCCUCCUGCCUAACGCCUUGGACUUCAGAGAACACCCCCCGCCCCAGUUUUCUGAAGCUGACAUUCUGUCCUAGUUCAGAUGCCAGGACAUUUAUUUAAAGGUCGAGCCUUAUAAGGGCUUCCCUGGUGACUCAGUGGUAAAGAAUCUGCCUGCCAAUGCAGGAGAUGCAGGUUCGAUCCCUGGGUCAGAAAGAUACCCUGGAGAAGGAAAUGGUGACCCAUGCCAGUAUUCUUGCUGGGGAAAUCCCAUGGACAGAGGAGCCUGGAGGGCUGCAGUCCAUGGGGUCGAAAAGAGUUGGACACAGCUUAGUUACCCACCCAAAGGCGCUCUAUAGCUCUGCCGUGUAGCUCUGGCACUGUUUUCAGAGAAUUUGCAGUGUCAUGAUUCAGUCUGUUUGACUAGGUGCUAGAACCAAGCUUGCCAUAACCCCAAAAUGUUUGGGAGGGGGGUGUCCAUUUAUAUUCCUAUGCUUGCUCUUGAACUGAAAAAUCUUCCAGAUACAUGUAUAACUGAGUCGUUUUGCCGUCCACCUGAAACUGUCACAACACUGUUAAUCAGCUAUACUCCAAUAUAAAAUAAAAAGCUUAAAAAAAGUGUCCGA